UCUUAUAUAUCUUUUUGUUUAGUGGUACAAAUUUUAAAGGUAGUUUUAGUUUCAAUAGUUCUAUUUUGGGCUACUUCUCCCAAAAAUAAACUUAUAAACAUUGCAAAUUCAGGAGGCCGAACAACUUUUAUACGUGAAAAUUCGACUCCGUCACGUCACCUUUUUGAUGCCAUGAACGGUCGACGAAUAGGCAACUUUGAGUUUAAGCAAAAAGAGGAAGACAUGCCCAACGUGAUAAGCUAGUCAAGGGUUUGGCUCGGCGUCACUGGUCAUCGAUCCAUUUGCCAAGGGAUUAGCUACGUGAUCCCAGUGACCAAACUAACAUCGGAGAAUUCUGCCUCUGGAUGGAAAUCGAUAUGCCAUGAAAAGGACUCGUUGGAUCACGGAGAAAGUAACUUCCUGGGCUAAAGCAAGAUACACUUAAUUAUAUUCCUGGAAGUGCAUCAAAGUCUCUUACUUAUCAGACUGCGAAAGGGACCAUGCCACAAGUCGUGAGCCUUACCCUGCCCAAUAAUUUUUACACUAUCAAAUACUAUUGACAUUGGAGUCUGUGUCUGUAGAUAUUACGUAUGAUGCAGUUACUGCUUCUUCACUUAUACUAAAAGUUUCGUACAUAUCAAAAAAUCACUAAAUAAUUUUUUUU
This is a long non-coding RNA of Raphanus sativus (radish), 643 nucleotides long. RefSeq lists it as uncharacterized. The record is from RefSeq and is a predicted model, not a curated record. The transcript is spliced from 3 exons. NCBI's taxonomy places the organism in Eukaryota, Viridiplantae, Streptophyta, Magnoliopsida, Brassicales, Brassicaceae.